UGGGAAUUUUGGACAAUGGGCGCAAGCCUGAUCCAGCCAUUCCGCGUGAGUGAAGAAGGCCUUCGGGUUGUAAAGCUCUUUCGCAAGGGAAGAAAACUUAGGCUCUAACAUAGCCUGAGGUUGACGGUACCUUGAUAAGAAGCACCGGCUAACUACGUGCCAGCAGCCGCGGUAAUACGUAGGGUGCGAGCGUUAAUCGGAAUUACUGGGCGUAAAGCGUGCGCAGGCGGUUUUGUAAGUCAGACGUGAAAUCCCCGAGCUCAACUUGGGAACUGCGUUUGAAACUACAAGACUAGAAUAUGUCAGAGGGGGGUAGAAUUCCACGUGUAGCAGUGAAAUGCGCAGAGAUGUGGAGGAAUACCAAUGGCGAAGGCAGCCCCCUGGGAUAAUAUUGACGCUCAUGCACGAAAGCGUGGGGAGCAAACAG
Molecule: ribosomal RNA, 427 nt
Filed under: uncultured bacterium
Lineage: Bacteria
Description: bacterial SSU rRNA
Rfam family: Bacterial small subunit ribosomal RNA
Source: RNAcentral